GUUUUUAUAGUUUAAUUCAAAAUAUCGAUCUUGUAAAUCGAAAAUAACUUAAUUGUUUAAAAACA
Molecule: transfer RNA, 65 nt
Filed under: Xyletinus sp. XYL01
Lineage: Eukaryota; Metazoa; Arthropoda; Insecta; Coleoptera; Ptinidae
Description: tRNA-Thr
Rfam family: tRNA
About the family: Transfer RNA (tRNA) molecules are approximately 80 nucleotides in length. Their secondary structure includes four short double-helical elements and three loops (D, anti-codon, and T loops).
Source: RNAcentral